AGAGUUUGAUCCUGGCUCAGGACGAACGCUGGCGGCGNGNUUAACACAUGCAAGUCGUACGGGGGUCCUUCGGGGCUUCAGUGGCGAACGGGUGCGUAACACGUGAGCAAUCUGCCCUUGUGCGGGGGAUAACCAGAGGAAACUCUGGCUAAUACCGCAUGACAUCAUGUCUCCGAUGGAGGUGUGAUCAAAGCUGCUGCAAGGCAGUGCGCAGGGAGGAGCUCGCGGCGUAUCAGCUAGUUGGUGAGGUAACGGCUCACCAAGGCGAUGACGCGUAGGGGGUCUGAGAGGAUGGCCCCCCACAUUGGGACUGAGAUACGGCCCAGACUCCUACGGGAGGCAGCAGUGGGGAAUCUUGCGCAAUGGCCGAAAGGCUGACGCAGCGACGCCGCGUGAGGGAUGACGGCCUUCGGGUUGUAAACCUCUUUCAGUAGGGAAGAAGCGAAAGUGACGGUACCUGCAGAAGAAGCGCCGGCUAACUACGUGCCAGCAGCCGCGGUAAUACGUAGGGCGCAAGCGUUAUCCGGAAUUAUUGGGCGUAAAGAGCUCGUAGGCGGUUUGUCGCGUCUGCCGUGAAAGUCCGGGGCUCAACUCCGGAUCUGCGGUGGGUACGGGCAGACUAGAGUGAUGUAGGGGAGACUGGAAUUCCUGGUGUAGCGGUGAAAUGCGCAGAUAUCAGGAGGAACACCGAUGGCGAAGGCAGGUCUCUGGGCAUUAACUGACGCUGAGGAGCGAAAGCAUGGGGAGCGAACAGGAUUAGAUACCCCCGUAGUCC
RNAcentral lists this ribosomal RNA (775 nucleotides) under uncultured Arthrobacter sp. RNAcentral describes it as "bacterial SSU rRNA". It matches the Rfam family "Bacterial small subunit ribosomal RNA", at positions 8 to 796 of the family's 1533-position model. Lineage: Bacteria; Bacillati; Actinomycetota; Actinomycetes; Micrococcales; Micrococcaceae. The record is from RNAcentral.